This 2447-nucleotide unclassified non-coding RNA is filed under the name Hevea brasiliensis (rubber tree). Lineage: Eukaryota; Viridiplantae; Streptophyta; Magnoliopsida; Malpighiales; Euphorbiaceae. The record is from RNAcentral.
CUCUCUCUCUCUCUCUCUCAUCCUAAGAAGUUCAAAGUUCAAACCAUAGUAUUGUUCAAUUCAAAAAUCAAUUUAUUCUCUGCCAUCGGAACUUAGGGUUUCACUUCGCCUUUGAAAUGAAGUUGAAGAUCAACAAAGCCUGUGAUCUCAACUCUAUUUCGGUCCUUCCUCCUCAAUCAAGGAGACCGAGUGCUAUUCCAACUGGACUACAAGCAUCACAGCUUAGAUCGCAAACAUCACAGCAAUCAUUUUCACAGGGAAUUUCAUCGCAGCGUGGCAUGUUUUCUCAGCUCUCUCAGACCUCUUUUGAUGAAGCUCUGACAAAUGACCAGAGAGUUAGUUCUCAAGAGCGAGAGAACUCUGUGAAGAAGACAUCUUGCUUGCCCCUAGUUAGCUAUGCACGUGAAGAAAGCCAAAUGCCGAUCUCAAGAUCUACUUCCAAUUUAAUGCGUAAAUGGAAUCCAGUAUCUGUUCCAGAUCAUAAAUGUCAGGUAAUGGAAGAACUUGAGCACCGGAUUGGAAUGAUGGAAACUUCAUUAAACAAGUUUGGAAUGAUCUUGGGUUCUGUUCAGAGUGAUGUCAUGCAAGUGAACAAGGGAACAAAAGAAGUAUCACUGGAGAUGGAAGGCAUACGACAGAAAUUAAUUGUCCUUGAAACCUCACUGCAGCUAAUGGUAACAGCAGUAUACUUUUGUCCCUUUUGACUUUCAACAUCUACCUGCCUUCUUAUCAGUGUGUCACUGAAAGUGAACCUUUUAUGACGUGACUGAGGUGUUGAAAACCAGAUCAAGGGACAAGAAGAUACUAAAUUUACUCUUGAUGGGAACUUGAAAUCUAUAUCUGAUCAACUGAGCAAGGAUAUGUAUCAAGAUAAAUCACAACAGAUUUUCUCGGUGCUUUCUGCCUUAUCAAAGCAGAUGGAAGCUUCUCUGCUGAAAUUACAUAAUGACCUCCGCAUGACCUUUACCAAAGUAAUGCAGGCAACAGCUUGCAACCUGAAAACCCUCAACCAAAGUAGCCCGUCAAUUACUGUGCUUCCACGAAAGGUUACUCGCUGUUAUACCGCUCCACAAAGAAAGCAGGAGUCCCCUGGGAAGUAUGCAGAACUCUCUCUUUCUUUUGUUCUUUGGAUCUUUUCAGUUAGACAUGAUAUAGCUUAUAUCCGCUGUAUGGCACUAUACAUAGUUGAUACUGCAGAGUUCCAAUUGUUGGGUCUAGCAGGCUUAUCUAAUGGGGGAUUGUUUUCCCCCUCGAGUCCUAAUAACUGAGAAUGUUAAAUAUAUGAACCAUAGAAAGAAAUCAGGAAGGAAUUUAUAUUUUGAUUGAUGCAAAUCGUGGUUGAUCUCUGAGGACUAAUAUCUGCAUCAAUGUAUCUGCAGUUAAAGGACUAGAAAUUUUUUCAGUAUGUUUGACUUGUGUAACUCAGUUUUUAUGCUCCCACAAAUGUCUGUUUUCUAUAUCUUUUUAUCCUAAUUUCUAGGUGUUUCAUGCAAUAAAAAACAGCCAAAUGCCCACACAUGAGAUAUAUAUGUUUCAUGGUGCUUGGCUGCUUGCAUUUGUUUGCUUGGAAUUGAUUACCUGUCCAAAUUUCAGAUCUCCUAUUUUCAUAUAUGUAAGUUCUGUAGUUCUUAAGCUUUGCUACUUUUAUCACAGCACCUAACCCCUUGAGAAUUGUCAAUGCUUUUUCUUUAUUUCAGUCCAGCCAUGCCUCAAAGGGCCUGUGGGCAAGUAACAGUGUGUCCAAAGAUAGAAAUGGGAGCUUGGAACACUGUAAGGCCUGAGCAAGCUACAUUCACACAAAGGGCAUCCCACAAGGAGGAGAAGCGCAAAGGAGUUUCUUCCUUUCAGAAGGAAAAACAAUGUAGUGUUAUCAUUGAAUCAGAUGAGGAGAUUGAUGGAGGUUUUUCGUGCUUAAUUGACGAGAAGGAAACAGGCAUUGGAAACUACAUGAUUGAUGAAGCAGCAGAAGAGUCCGAGCGAAUUCUGAGAAGAGCAAGGAGGCAAAAGAGAAAAUACUGUAAUCCAAUAAUUAUUAAUUGAAGUUGUGCAGCUGAAAGAUUUCUCUUUUCAUGAAGUAUUGACGGUUUUGAAGGAAUUCUUGCCAAUGUCCCUAAUUCAUUUGUCCCAGGUAAGCUUUUUUUAUGAGCUUUGAUUAGAUUAGCAUUUUUUUCCAAAAUUGAGACGCUCCCCUGUAUCUUUACUUCAAAAAUAGGUGACCAAAUAUCUGAGGUGUAUGUGCAAUAAUUAGCGGUAUGAUCAGUAGAUUUUUUUUUUGGGUUGGUAUUCUAAAAAUUUUAAGGGGAUUGAGUUGUAAGAAUUUAAUUUUUAAACUCAUGGAUUAGGAAGUAAGCACUUAGCUAUUAGCCUAUUAGACUACUGAUUUAAUAACCAGUAUGACCAGUACAUGUGCUUGGAAGAAGGGUGCCUUUCUAUAUCAUGCCCUCGAU